Molecule: non-coding RNA, 1094 nt
Organism: Macaca mulatta (Rhesus monkey)
Lineage: Eukaryota; Metazoa; Chordata; Mammalia; Primates; Cercopithecidae
Source: RefSeq, a predicted model, not a curated record
GGUUGCAAAAAGCAACUAAUCAGAAGUACUUUAUCUUAUCCCUUUUUCCAAUUUCUGUCUUUUUCUUCUUGAUUUGCAGGAGUUCCUUGAAUUUUCUAGGCACUCAUCCCUUGUCAGCUUUGGAUAUUCCAAGUAUGUUCUACCAUUCUGUCCUCUGUCUACAGGGAUACGCCAGACACACUGUGGUUCAGCCCAGACUACUGCAGUAAGGCAAAUACUGCAAUAAACUCUCAGCAACCUGGCUUAGAGGCUUCACUAGGAAGAUGUGUCCUCCUCCAUCCCAGCAUUCUGCAGGAAAAUUCAUGCAAUUCAUGUAACCUGCUGCUUGGCACAUGGCGACGUCUCGAUUGAUGGCGGCUACUGCUCCUUCCACCUGGCUGCCCACUAGGGGGACACAAGACAGGAAAGGAAAGAGCUCUGCUGAUGGUCGGAAGGUAACACGGUACCAUCCUCUGUGAGCAGUAAAGCCGAAGAAGCCAAACCUAAUGAGCUCGCACUCCACUUUCAGGAUAUUUAGAAAAGUUCCCAUGGAGAGACAAGGAGGCAAGACCAAGCAUGUUCAUUACAGCAUUGUUUGUUACGAGGAAAAAUGGAAAUAACCUAAAUGUCCCAGAAUAAGAGAACUAGUAAAUAUACUGUGAUAUUUAUACAGCCAAUAGCAUACAGAAGAGGAAAAUGAAUGAAACAGAAACACAAGGAAAAACUUCAGAAGUAUAAUAUUGAGGGAAAGAAACCGAUUGCAGAAUAACACGUGCAGGGUGAUAGUAACCUCUUAUUAAGUUUCAAACACAUAAAACAGCAGUGUGGAUUGUAUCGGCACACAUACAUGUAGAGAAGUAUAAACAUAUAUAUGGGAGUAAUACAGAUACAUUCAGAACCAUGAUUACUUUAGGGAGAGGAUAUAUUUAGGGACCCUCGACUGUAUCUAUUUUACUUUUUUAAAGGAUCUGAAGUAAAUGUGGGACAAAAUGUUAAGAUCUGAUAAAGCUGGUUUGUGGGUGCAUGGGUAUUUUUACAUUAUUCUCCAUAUACAUUUAAAAAGUCUGUAAUAUUCCAUAAUAAAAACAACUAAUUAAAGGUCUUACACGUUGAAA